CUGGCGGCGUGCUUAACACAUGCAAGUCGUACGCUGAAGCCCGCGCUUGCGUGGGUGGAUGAGUGGCGAACGGGUGAGUAACACGUGGGUAAUCUGCCUUGUACUCUGGGAUAAGCCUGGGAAACUGGGUCUAAUACCGGAUAGGACCAUUCCUCGCAUGGGGGGUGGUGGAAAGCUCCGGCGGUAUGAGUUGAGCCCGCGGCCUAUCAGCUUGUUGGUGGGGUGAUGGCCUACCAAGGCGGUGACGGGUAGCCGGCCUGAGAGGGCGACCGGCCACACUGGGACUGAGACACGGCCCAGACUCCUACGGGAGGCAGCAGUGGGGAAUAUUGCACAAUGGGCGCAAGCCUGAAUGCAGCGACGCCGCGUGAGGGAUGACGGCCUUCGGGUUGUAAACCUCUUUCGCCAGGGACGAAGGGUGAUACUGACGGUACCUGGAGAAGAAGCACCGGCUAACUACGUGCCAGCCGCCGC
This 474-nucleotide ribosomal RNA is filed under the name uncultured bacterium. RNAcentral's name for it is "bacterial SSU rRNA". It matches the Rfam family "Bacterial small subunit ribosomal RNA", at positions 36 to 518 of the family's 1533-position model. The record is from RNAcentral.